This 250-nucleotide ribosomal RNA is filed under the name uncultured bacterium. RNAcentral describes it as "partial 16S ribosomal RNA". It matches the Rfam family "Bacterial small subunit ribosomal RNA", at positions 779 to 1031 of the family's 1533-position model. The record is from RNAcentral.
UAGAUACCCUGGUAGUCCACACCGUAAACGUUGGGCGCUAGGUGUGGGGUCCAUUCCACGGAUUCCGUGCCGCAGCUAACGCAUUAAGCGCCCCGCCUGGGGAGUACGGCCGCAAGGCUAAAACUCAAAGGAAUUGACGGGGGCCCGCACAAGCGGCGGAGCAUGCGGAUUAAUUCGAUGCAACGCGAAGAACCUUACCUGGGUUUGACAUACACCGGAAAGCCUCAGAGAUGGGGCCCCUUUUGUCGGU